CAUGUACUCCCUCCAUCCGGAAUUACUUGUUACACAAAUGAAUAAAAAUGGAUAUAUCUAGAAUUAAAAAACAUCUAGAUACAUCUAUUCCUAUGACAAGUAUUCCAGGCGGAGGGAGUAAUUC
Molecule: non-coding RNA, 124 nt
Organism: Hordeum vulgare subsp. vulgare (domesticated barley)
Lineage: Eukaryota; Viridiplantae; Streptophyta; Magnoliopsida; Poales; Poaceae
Source: Rfam